Molecule: small RNA, 6229 nt
Filed under: Pan troglodytes (chimpanzee)
Lineage: Eukaryota; Metazoa; Chordata; Mammalia; Primates; Hominidae
Description: retained intron
Source: RNAcentral
GAAUUCUAGGCCCAGUUCUGUGUUUCCCCUGUGUGUUCCUAGGCAGGUCAGUUUCCCUCCAUGGGCCUCUGUAAGAUGAGGAGUUGGAGAGGUACAUUCUCAGGCUACUUUCAACUCCCGGCCAAGUGACUCAAGAGUCCCAGGCAGCACCAGCACCCCUAUCUCCAAGGCCUCCUGAUGUGUGUCUCUAUUUAGAACUUAAUCCAACCUACCCAACAUCAGAUCAGUGUCUUACCAGCCCAAGGUCCCUGGGGAGCCUCCUAGAGGGAGAGAGCCCUGCCCACCCAGAUUGAGGGUAAAGGCCUCCCCGUGCUCAUUUUUGUACCAUCACAGUGCUUGGCACAUGGUAGACAUCAAAAUGUGUGUGCUGAAAGUAUAAUUGAAGUUGUGUAUAUAUGUCAGCUAGAGUGUCUGGAGGGGCAGAAAUGUGGGUCUAAAACAUACAAAUGCUCCAAAUGGGGUGUGGGCAAGGGUCUGUCUACACCAGGCUGUGAUUAUCUGCUCACAUACAUGUGUCUAUCUGAGUAGGGGUAUGUUAUCUAUUUUUCUACACCACAGGGUGAGGAACAGGUAUAUGUGUGCAUGUGUAUGCAUCCGUGUGUGUGUGUAUGUGUGUGUGCAUGAGUGUGUGUGUGUGUCCAAAGCCACCUCUUCAACCUGUGCCAUUUGUAUCUGUGUCUGGCCCAAUGAGAGUGUUGAAAGGUGAGCCACAAGAUAAAACAGCAACUUCCUACCUUCCUUAUCAAGACAGCUGUCUGACCUACCUCCCCUUGGCCACUCUUGGGAUUACUGGGGUUGGCUUCAGUAUUUUCAGAUUUUUCAGAAGGGGAGGAGAAUGCUUGAGUCUCAUCCAGGAACUUAGGCAGUUCUCAGCACUGCCUGCUCCUCCUCCCUCAAAUAACCAAGUCUGAAGACCAGGAGAGAAAGCCGCUGGUGGACUGGUCACCUGUCUGGCAGUGGGAGGAGGAGAGUGAGAGGUUUCUAGGUUAGGAAUCCAGACUUAGACCCUCCCCUCCACCCCCAGAUGGGUGGUGCACAGGCUCAUCUCGCGGCCCCUCCCCACUCCACCCUAACAUGGAUACGCCCCCAACAACCAAGGAAAGAUCUCCCAUCGGCUGACUCCACAGAUACACACAUGUCCCCACAGACACACACACGCCCAUGCAGAGGCACAGACAUCCAGGCACAUCUUUCCCUUUCUCUGUCUUUCCCUUGGUUUGAAUUUCGUUUAGCCACAUAUGUUGUGUGUGCGUGAGGGUGGGUGGGGGAGGGGCAGACAGGGAUGAGGGAUGGCAUGGUGCCAACAUCUACCUAUGGGGCUCGGGCCAGGGACGCCCCUUACAGCCAUCCUGGGAGGGGGUCUCAGCUGUCCCUUUGUGGCCAAGGGGACCCUCCUGGGGAGUGGGGGCAAGCACAGAGGUCCUUUCUCCCCAACCCGGGGUCUGGUCCCUGACCCACCUUGGGGGCCUGCAGGGGAGGAAAUGGACAGAGCGGGACCCUGAGGGAGCAUAGAAUUGGCCACCACGAGCCCCCAGUGUCCAGCCUUGCCACCCCAUUGUUCCCGUUUGGGGGUCUCUAUAUACAGGGGGGCAACUCCUCCCACCUUCCUCUCAAUCCCUGCUUUCCCUGCGUUGGGCGGGGAGGGGAGGGCGGCAGAAAUAUUUAUUUAUUUCCUUUAUUUAUUUAAUUUUUUUUUUUUUUUGGAGUAGAGAGUGACAGAUGGCGGCGGGUCCCGGGGGAGCCGGCUCUCCCCCAGUGCAGACGCAUGCCAAUCACCGUCUCUCAUGUGAUAGCUGCUGCCCGUGACGUGCCAAGCCCAUAUGGCCUGGCAUAGAGGCUGGUACCCCGCCUGGUAGAGAUGCCACACUCGCUCCGCGGUUCGCAUGGCGCUCUGAAGACGCCGGCGCCCGCCGCCUUGAGGAGCCGCUGCCCCCGCUCCCUGAAGAUGGGGGAACAAUGAAAUAAGCGAGAAGAUCCCUCUUCUCCCCCCUCUCUCUCUUGCCCCCUCCCCCCCUCCCCUCCCCUCUCCCCUUGACUCCUCUCCGAGGUAAGUUGUCCGAAAGGGAGCGAGAUCUGACCCGCCGGUUGGGAGGAGGGGCGGCAGCUUCGGCCGACAGGAGGGUCCUCAAAUACCUCCUUCCUGGGAUGAUGCCCCCCUCAUUGGGUGGGCAUCGGAGGCGCCCCAGGUUCUCUCUCCCUUAGGGGCUGCAGCCCAGGGGGCUGCAGAGGAGGUGUCUCUGCCUGCGAUGGGCUCGGUGGGGGGGAAGGCAGGAUCACGGAGGGGGAUAUGCGAAGAGGCCGAGACGGAGGACCCCUCCAUGGUUGUCCCAAAAAGCCUGCCACCUUUCCCCACCACCGAAAAAAGGGAAGCAAACAAACAAAUUUGGAUUUUUCCCCCAUCAAUCCCAAAAUACAACGAGAUCUGAAGAGCCUUGUGGGAGGGAGUCAGCUUGAAGGGGGAAGGGGGUCCCUGACCGCAGAGGGGACGGACUGGGCUCGCUUCUCUGAGUCUCCUCCCCACGCCCCGCUUCUUCAGUCCUCGCCGCCCAGAGCCGGCUCCGGGAGCUGGGGACGCAUCGGCUAGAGGAGACGAUCCUCCCGCCUCUGGAAUUGGGGGUGCGGGGGUGGGGGCCGAGCAAGGGGCGGCGCGCAGCCAAGUUGCAAAUUGGAUUAGGGAGCGUGGGGGUGAGAGCCACGGGAGGGGUGAGGGAGCUGGGCCGGGGGGCCCGGGCCGCGAGAGCGCGGAGCGGGGCAGCUGUCCCCACCGGUGGCCGACCAGCCUCUCUCCACCGCCAGGAGAGAACGGGCUUUCAGGGCGAGCGCGCCGCCUCCCCUGGCAAAGAUAUCUGGUCCCUGAAACCCCCCACCCGGUCCCCGCCCUGACCCUGAGAAGAAGCAGGCACGGGGAGCAGCCCCCCAUUCAAGCGAGGGGCGGAGCCGGGGCCCAGCGCCGGGGAGAGGGCCUGGGCCGAGAUCCCAGGCCGGCAGCCGGGUAGGGCUGGGCCGGCUCUGGGCGGGGCAGGCGGCGGAGGUGGGCAUCCAGGGUAGCCUAGGCAGGAGCCCGCACGAUACUCGGGGGUGGAGGAGGGUUGUGGGGGGGCGUCGGUACCCCAGCGCGCCCCUCACUUUGUGCUGUCUGUCUCCCCUUCCCGCCCGCGGGGCGCCCUCAGGCACCAUGCUGACCCGCCUGUUCAGCGAGCCCGGCCUUCUCUCGGACGUGCCCAAGUUCGCCAGCUGGGGCGACGGCGAAGACGACGAGCCGAGGAGCGACAAGGGCGACGCGCCGCCACCGCCACCGCCUGCGCCCGGGCCAGGGGCUCCGGGGCCAGCCCGGGCGGCCAAGCCAGUCCCUCUCCGUGGAGAAGAGGGGACGGAGGCCACGUUGGCCGAGGUCAAGGAGGAAGGCGAGCUGGGGGGAGAGGAGGAGGAGGAAGAGGAGGAGGAAGAAGGACUGGACGAGGCGGAGGGCGAGCGGCCCAAGAAGCGCGGGCCCAAGAAGCGCAAGAUGACCAAGGCGCGCUUGGAGCGCUCCAAGCUUCGGCGGCAGAAGGCGAACGCGCGGGAGCGCAACCGCAUGCACGACCUGAACGCAGCCCUGGACAACCUGCGCAAGGUGGUGCCCUGCUACUCCAAGACGCAGAAGCUGUCCAAGAUCGAGACGCUGCGCCUAGCCAAGAACUAUAUCUGGGCGCUCUCGGAGAUCCUGCGCUCCGGCAAGCGGCCAGACCUAGUGUCCUACGUGCAGACUCUGUGCAAGGGUCUGUCGCAGCCCACCACCAAUCUGGUGGCCGGCUGUCUGCAGCUCAACUCUCGCAACUUCCUCACGGAGCAAGGCGCCGACGGUGCCGGCCGCUUCCACGGCUCGGGCGGCCCGUUCGCCAUGCACCCCUACCCGUACCCGUGCUCGCGCCUGGCGGGCGCACAGUGCCAGGCGGCCGGCGGCCUGGGCGGCGGCGCGGCGCACGCCCUGCGGACCCACGGCUACUGCGCCGCCUACGAGACGCUGUAUGCGGCGGCAGGCGGUGGCGGCGCGAGCCCGGACUACAACAGCUCCGAGUACGAGGGCCCGCUCAGCCCCCCGCUCUGUCUCAAUGGCAACUUCUCACUCAAGCAGGACUCCUCGCCCGACCACGAGAAAAGCUACCACUACUCUAUGCACUACUCGGCGCUGCCCGGUUCGCGGCCCACGGGCCACGGGCUAGUCUUCGGCUCGUCGGCUGUGCGCGGGGGCGUCCACUCGGAGAAUCUCUUGUCUUACGAUAUGCACCUUCACCACGACCGGGGCCCCGUGUACGAGGAGCUCAAUGCGUUUUUUCAUAACUGAGACUUCGCGCCGGCUCCCUUCUUUUUCUUUUGCCUUUGCCCGCCCCCCUGUCCCCAGCCCCCAGAGCGCAGGGACACCCCCACCUACCCCGGCGCCGGGCGCGGGGAGCGGGCCACCGGUCCUGCUGCUCUCCUGGGGCAGCGCAGUCCUGUUACCUGUGGGUGGCCUGUCCCAGGGGCCUCGCUUCCCCCAGGGGACUCGCCUUCUCUCUCCCCAAGGGGUUCCCUCCUCCUCUCUCCCAAGGAGUGCUUCUCCAGGGACCUCUCUCCGGGGGCUCCCUGGAGGCACCCCUCCCCCAUUCCCAAUAUCUUCGCUGAGGUUUCCUCCUCCCCCUCCUCCCUGCAGGCCCAAGGCGUUGGUAAGGGGGCAGCUGAGCAAUGGAACGCGUUUCCCCCUCUCAUUAUUAUUUUAAAAACAGACACCCAGCUGCCGAGGCAAAAAGGAGCCAGGCGCUCCCUCUUUCUUGAAGAGGGUAGAAGUCAGGGCGCCGGAGCCCGGGCCUGGAACGCCCUCACCCCCAACCUCCAGUCUCCGCGUUUUGCGAUUUUAAUUUUGGCGGGAGGGGAAGUGGAUUGAGAGGAAAGAGAGAGGCCAAGACAAUUUGUAACUAGAAUCCGUUUUUCCCUUUUCCUUUUUUUAAACAAACAAACAUACAAAAAAAAAAAAAAAAAAAAAAAAAAGCUAAGAGGCGACGGAAGCCGAACGCAGAGUCCGGAUCGGAGAGAAAACGCAGUAAGGACUUUUAGAAGCAAUAAAAGGCAAAAAAAACAAAAAACAAAAAAACAAACAAAAAAAAAACCACUACUACCAAUAAUCAAAGACACAAAUAUCUAUGCAAGGAGGCUCCACUGAGCCUCGCGGCCCGGCCCGGCCCCGGGAUGCCCCGCCCGGCCUGCGGGCCGCCCCGCCCGAGCGCGGAUCUGUGCACUUUGGUGAAGUGGGGGCCCGCGCCGCCCCCUCCCCCUCCCCAGGUUCUUACAAUCAGUGACUCGGAGAUUUGGGGCCCCAGUGCCACUGCCCUCCCCCGCCCCGUCCCCGUUGUGCGUCAUGCUGUUUUUUAAAAACCUGUUUCCAAAUUUGUAUGGAAUGGCAAACUGUUGGGGGGUCGGUUUGGGGAGGGAGGGUUUGCAUGAAAGACACACGCACACCACACCGCACGCACAAGCAGGCCCGGCGCCGGCGUCCGGGGGGCAGAAGGAGGUGAGCUCACCGGCUCCUCCUCCCCGCGGCCAUUCUGUCCCCUCCUGGGGUGAGGGGUGGGGAUGGAGACCUGGGGGCAGCCCCACCCCUGCCCAGACUGUGCCUCGGUGGGUGCCAGGCGCCCGGCGAUUUCCGGUGUCUGGAGAGAGUAUUUUUUGGUCCAAGGAGUCCUCCUGGCUUUAGCUGGUGGGUGGGCGGGGAGAGGUCUGAGGGCUCCUACUGGAGGUUCCCCCAAAAAGGGGCAAAAGGAGACCCUCUGCCCACCGGAGGCAGGGGAUCAGGCAUCCAAAUACACGAUGCAAAAAUGCAAACCCACAGGCGACACACCCACACACUCACCCACACACACGCAAUUUUACCUUCCUCUUGUAGCGAAGAUGAAACUCCCGUCGGACACCCGAAGUGCAUUGCGUGUUUCUGUUCAGUUUAAUGACGAUUAAUAAAUAUUUAUGUAAAUGAGAUGCAAAGCCGGACCGGUUUCUCACGGUGGCCUCAUUUCAUUGAGGGGGGAGAGAAGGUUUGAGCUGGGGCUGGGGUGAUGAAGGCAGAGUGUCAAGUGACUGUGCAGAGGCCAAACAGAGGGACCCUGGACAUUCUUGGGUAGUAUUCUCUCCCUAACCACCCCCCAUACACCCACUGGGCUAUACUAGCUACCCCUCCCAGACCCAACCCAGGCUCGCACCUUCCCAGCACUAAAGCACUGAU